RNAcentral lists this long non-coding RNA (1378 nucleotides) under Cyanistes caeruleus (blue tit). RNAcentral describes it as "lncRNA (ENSCCEG00000005895.1)". Lineage: Eukaryota; Metazoa; Chordata; Aves; Passeriformes; Paridae. The record is from RNAcentral.
AAAACGGGAUUUGGGAAUGCUGGGGAGAUGGAAACCUGAGAUUUGGGAAUGUUGGGAGAAGGAAAAACGGGAUUUGGGAAUGUUGGGAGAGGCCGUGAUGAGCACUGUCAGCUUCUCCGUGUUGGCUUCCUGGAAAAACGGGAUUUGGGAAUGUUGGGACAGGGCAAAACGGGAUUUGGGAAUGCUGGGAGAGGGAAAAUCGGGAUUUGGGAAUGUUGGGAGAGGGCAAAACGGGAUUUGGAAAUGUUGGGAGAGGGAAAAACGGGAUUUGGGAAUGUUGGGAGAGGGAAAACCGGGAUUUGGGAAUGUUGGGAUAGGGAAACCUGAGAUUUGGGAAUGUUGGGAGAGGGAAAAACGGGAUUUGGGAAUGUUGGGAGAGGAAAAAACGGGAUUUGGGAAUGGAGGAGAGGUGAGGGGAUGAACGCCGUCAGCUUCUCCGUGUUGGCUUCCUGGAAAAACGGGAUUUGGGAAUGUUGGGAGAGGGAAACCCGGGAUUUGGGAAUGUUGGGAGUGAAAAAAAAUGGGAUUUGAGAAUGUUGGGAAAAGGAGAAAUGGGAUUUGGGAAUGGAGAAGAGGAAAAAACGGGAUUUGGGAAUGUUGGGAGAGGGAAAAUCGGGGUUUGGGAAUGUUGGGAGAGGGAAAAUCGGGAUUUGGGAAUGUUGGGAGAGGGAAAAUCAGGAUUUGGGAAUGCUGGGAGAGGGAAACCCGGGAUUUGGGAAUGUUGGGAGAGGCCGAGGGAGCAUCACGGAGAGGUUUGGGAAAGGGGUUUGGGAUUUUUGGGAAUUGCAGCGUUGGGAAAGGGAUCUGGGAACAGCAAAUCCAACUGGGAGCGGCUCAGGGAAUUCCCAGCAGGGAAUGGAGGGCGGGAAAGGUUCGGGAUGCAGGGAGAGGUUGGGAAUUGGGAUUUUCCACCUCGGAAAAAAGCCCCAAAACCACCCAGGCCCAACCCCAAUCCCAAAAAUCUGCCCGGGAUUUUCCAGGCCCGGAAUUCCCCCCCUGGAAUGUGGGAAUUCCCGGGAUUCUCACCUCCUCCCCAAAGUUGAUGAUGUCCACGUUGACCUUCUCCUUCUUCAGGCGCUUGGCCAACUUCACCAGCUGGAAAAGCGGGAAUUCCCGGGGAUCAGCGGGAUCCCGCAGGAAUCCGGGAAUUCCCGGGGAUCCCGCAGGAAUCCGGGAAUUCCCUGGGAUCAGCAGGUCAGGAUUUGAUCCUGAAUCUGCUGCCUCAGCUCCGAGGGAUCCGGCCCAGGGAUCCAUCCCAGGGAUCCGGCCCAGGGAUCCAUCCCAGGGAUCCACCCCAGGGAUCCGGCCCAGGGAUCGGCUCUGGGAUCCAUCCCAGGGAUCCAGCCCAGGGAUCCACCCCAGGGAUCCCCACCUGUGA